This 335-nucleotide unclassified non-coding RNA is filed under the name soil metagenome. Its description in RNAcentral is "partial contains 5.8S ribosomal RNA, internal transcribed spacer 2, and large subunit ribosomal RNA". The stretch from base 1 to 120 matches the Rfam family "5.8S ribosomal RNA", at positions 35 to 154 of the family's 154-position model. The record is from RNAcentral.
GAUGAAGAACGCAGCGAAAUGCGAUAAGUAGUGUGAAUUGCAGAAUUCAGUGAAUCAUCGAAUCUUUGAACGCACAUUGCGCCCCUUGGUAUUCCAUGGGGCAUGCCUGUUCGAGCGUCAUUUGUACCUUCAAGCUUUGCUUGGUGUUGGGUGUUUGUCUCGCCUUUGCGUGUAGACUCGCCUUAAAAUAAUUGGCAGCCGGCGUAUUGAUUUCGGAGCGCAGUACAUCUCGCGCUUUGCACUCAUAACGACAGCGUCCAAAAGUACAUUUUACACUCUUGACCUCGGAUCAGGUAGGGAUACCCGCUGAACUUAAGCAUAUCAUAAGCGGAGGA